Molecule: ribosomal RNA, 798 nt
Filed under: uncultured Glomeromycotina
Lineage: Eukaryota; Fungi; Glomeromycota
Description: SSU rRNA
Rfam family: Eukaryotic small subunit ribosomal RNA
Source: RNAcentral
GAUUAUCAACUUUCGAUGGUAGGAUAGAGGCCUACCAUGGUGGUAACGGGUAACGGGGUGUUAGGGCACGACACCGGAGAGGGAGCCUGAGAAACGGCUACCACAUCCAAGGAUGGCAGCAGGCGCGCAAAUUACCCAAUCCCGACACGGGGAGGUAGUGACAAUAAAUAACAAUACGGGGUUCUUUCGGAUUUCGUAAUUGGAAUGAGUACAAUUUAAAUCUCUUAACGAGGAACAAUUGGAGGGCAAGUCUGGUGCCAGCAGCCGCGGUAAUUCCAGCUCCAAUAGCGUAUAUUAAAGUUGCUGCAGUUAAAAAGCUCGUAGUUGAAUUUCGGGAUCAAUAUGUUGGUCGUGCCUCGGUACGUACUAGCUUAUUGGUUUCUCCCUUCUGACGAACCAUGAUGUCAUUUAUUUGGUGUUAUGAGGAAUCAGGACUGUUACUUUGAAAAAAUUAGAGUGUUUAAAGCAGGCUCACGCUUGAAUACAUUAGCAUGGAAUAAUGAAAUAGGACGUUUGAUUCUAUUUUGUUGGUUUCUAGGAUCGACGUAAUGAUUAAUAGGGAUAGUUGGGGGCAUUAGUAUUCAAUUGUCAGAGGUGAAAUUCUUGGAUUUAUUGAAGACUAACUACUGCGAAAGCAUUUGCCAAGGAUGUUUUCAUUAAUCAAGAACGAAAGUUAGGGGAUCGAAGACGAUCAGAUACCGUCGUAGUCUUAACCAUAAACUAUGCCGACUAGGGAUCGGAUGAUGUUAAUUUUUAUGACUCAUUCGGCGCCUUACGGGAAACCAAAGUGUUUGGGUU